RNAcentral lists this ribosomal RNA (167 nucleotides) under Haloarcula sp. K1. Its description in RNAcentral is "partial 16S ribosomal RNA". It matches the Rfam family "Archaeal small subunit ribosomal RNA", at positions 1 to 169 of the family's 1478-position model. Lineage: Archaea; Methanobacteriati; Methanobacteriota; Halobacteria; Halobacteriales; Haloarculaceae. The record is from RNAcentral.
AUUCCGGUUGAUCCUGCCGGAGGCCAUUGCUAUCGGAGUCCGAUUUAGCCAUGCUAGUUGCACGAGUUCAGACUCGUAGCAUAUAGCUCAGUAACACGUGGCCAAACUACCCUACAGACCGCAAUAACCUCGGGAAACUGAGGCCAAUAGCGGAUAUAACUCUCAGG